This is a long non-coding RNA of Raphanus sativus (radish), 975 nucleotides long. RefSeq lists it as uncharacterized. The transcript has 3 exons. The record is from RefSeq and is a predicted model, not a curated record. NCBI's taxonomy places the organism in Eukaryota, Viridiplantae, Streptophyta, Magnoliopsida, Brassicales, Brassicaceae.
UGAUGAGCCCAUCUCACGCUGAGAUCCCCUUUCUCCUUUCCGCGGAGAACAAACUCUAAUCUUUCUCCUUUCUCGAUGUCGAUUGAUUUCCUCUUCCUCUUUUUCGUUUAUUAUGUUUACGAAUCUUCCCCAUGAACAAUCAAUUCUCUCCCCACUUCUCUUCACUCUUUAAUUCCAUUAAUGGAUUCUUUUCGCUUUCUUCCUUUGAGAUUCUAUAUAAGAUCUCAUUCUGGGUGUUUUGAUUUUCAUCAGAAGUUUUUCUAUCCUCUCGACUGUGCAUUGCGAUGAAGUUAUCCGGUGUUCCCGACUCAGUGAAAACGAACGGCGAAGCGGCGGUCCCCUCAACUCCGGUUAAACCCGUCGUCCAAAUCGGUGUCUCUUCUGGUUAAACUCAUUUUUGUUAUCUGAAUUUCACAGACCAAAGCAGAGAAGAAGAUCCUUACAGAGGAGGAACUUGAGCAGAAGAAGAAGGAUGACAAGAUUGCAAAUCGUUUCAUGGAUAGAGGCGUGAGCAAAGUAAUUUUGGCUAACUGUUUGCAUUUGAGUUGAAAAACCAAUAGCUUCCGAAUUCUAGCUGGUGAUUUUGGAGUUGGGUCUAAACAGCUUAGUAAUGUGAAAAGAUCACAACUUGCUUCUCUGCAGCAAUAUAAAAGUUAAGUUCUCUGGUCUCUUUUGUUGGCAUUUCUGUAUUUUAUCAUUUUGGUCUCCACUAUUGUUUUUAUUGGUGGAAGAUUGCAUCUGGUCUUAUAUAAUCUACACAAAUACAGACAAAUGUAUCUUGAUUCAGCGGAGAAGUUGAUGAUUUGCUAAAGAUCAAGAACACUUAUGCCUCAAACACCUAUUGUCCUAUCCUCUCAAGAAAGAGAAAGGGUUUAUGCUAUGUAUAAUACAUCUAUCUUAUUAAAGGUGAAGUACAAAUUCGGUGCGUUUGGAUACUUGGAUAAGAUUAAUAAAAAAAUUUGGUGUGUUUGGUUA